UACGGAAGGUCCGGGCGUUAUCCGGAUUUAUUGGGUUUAAAGGGAGCGUAGGCCGGGUUUUAAGCGUGCCGUGAAAUGUCGGGGCUCAACCUUGACACUGCGGCGCGAACUGGAGUCCUUGAGUGCGCGGAACGUAUGCGGAAUUCGUGGUGUAGCGGUGAAAUGCUUAGAUAUCACGAAGAACCCCGAUUGCGAAGGCAGCAUACGGCAGCGCUACUGACGCUGAAGCUCGAAGGCGCGGGUAUCGAACAGG
This 253-nucleotide non-coding RNA is filed under the name uncultured bacterium. RNAcentral's name for it is "partial 16S ribosomal RNA". It matches the Rfam family "Bacterial small subunit ribosomal RNA", at positions 524 to 776 of the family's 1533-position model. RNAcentral also lists the same sequence under 1 other name. The record is from RNAcentral.